Non-coding RNA from Camellia sinensis, 449 nucleotides. The record is from RefSeq and is a predicted model, not a curated record. NCBI's taxonomy places the organism in Eukaryota, Viridiplantae, Streptophyta, Magnoliopsida, Ericales, Theaceae.
UCAAAAGAAGUUGUGUGUGUGUAAUACAUGUGCUGGGAAGUUAGACUCAAACAUAUAGAAAAGAGAAAGAGAGAACCAAAGAGAGAGAGAGAGCUUCAUUGUUUUUGCAUGCAAUGUAAUUAAUCUGCUGGUGCAAAACCGUGAGAAAGAGAGAGACAACCGUGGGUGAGAAAGAGAGAACCGUGAAUAAGGGAGAGUUCAACUCCUUAAAUCUUUGCUGGAAAUUUGAAGGAAAACCAAGGGAAAAGUGAAGAAAAGGAAGGAGAAACUCAAGUUUGGCUUGGAUUUGUCAAAAUUAUGCAAGAUUAAAUGUCUAUGAAGACUCUAGGUCACGCGCCAUUGUCUGCCUGAUUUAUCUGAUAUGUCCAGUCUGUCUGAUUUGCUUAUGCAGCCAUCUGUGAUCAGGCGCGUGACCAGGCUUAGAAGUUUCUGCCUAGAACUAGUUUUGU